GUCUGGCUGGCUCAGUCAGUAGAGCAUGUGACUCAAUCUCAGGGUUGUGAGUUCAAGCCCCACGUUGGGCA
RNAcentral lists this transfer RNA (71 nucleotides) under Ailuropoda melanoleuca (giant panda). It matches the Rfam family "tRNA". From Rfam's summary of the family: Transfer RNA (tRNA) molecules are approximately 80 nucleotides in length. Their secondary structure includes four short double-helical elements and three loops (D, anti-codon, and T loops). The record is from Rfam by way of RNAcentral. Lineage: Eukaryota; Metazoa; Chordata; Mammalia; Carnivora; Ursidae.